GUAAAGAAUGUGGAAAAGCUUUCAGUCAAAAAACAGACCUUAUUUACCACACCAGAACACACACUGGAGAGAAGCCCUACAAAUGCAAAGAAUGCAGCAAAGCUUUCAGUCAAAAAACAAACCUUAUUUACCACACCAGAAUUCACACUGGAGAGAAGCCCUACAAAUGCAAAGAAUGUGGCAAAGCUUUCAGUCAAAAAUCAAAUCUUAUUUGCCACAGAAGAACUCACACUGUAGAGAAGCCCUACAAAUGCAAAGAAUGUGGCAAAGCUUUCAGUCAAAAAUCAAAACUUAUUUGCCACAGAAGAAC
This 310-nucleotide long non-coding RNA is filed under the name Marmota monax (woodchuck). Lineage: Eukaryota; Metazoa; Chordata; Mammalia; Rodentia; Sciuridae. The record is from RNAcentral.